CGAAUGCUGACAUAAGUAACGAUAAAGCGGGUGAAAAGCCCGCUCGCCGGAAGACCAAGGGUUCCUGUCCAACGUUAAUCGGGGCAGGGUGAGUCGACCCCUAAGGCGAGGCCGAAAGGCGUAGUCGAUGGGAAACAGGUUAAUAUUCCUGUACUUGGUGUUACUGCGAAGGGGGGACGGAGAAGGCUAUGUUGGCCGGGCGACGGUUGUCCCGGUUUAAGCGUGUAGGCUGGUUUUCCAGGCAAAUCCGGAAAAUCAAGGCUGAGGCGUGAUGACGAGGCACUACGGUGCUGAAGCAACAAAUGCCCUGCUUCCAGGAAAAGCCUCUAAGCAUCAGGUAACAUCAAAUCGUACCCCAAACCGACACAGGUGGUCAGGUAGAGAAUACCAAGGCGCUUGAGAGAACUCGGGUGAAGGAACUAGGCAAAAUGGUGCCGUAACUUCGGGAGAAGGCACGCUGAUAUGUAGGUGAAGUCCCUCGCGGAUGGAGCUGAAAUCAGUCGAAGAUACCAGCUGGCUGCAACUGUUUAUUAAAAACACAGCACUGUGCAAACACGAAAGUGGACGUAUACGGUGUGACGCCUGCCCGGUGCCGGAAGGUUAAUUGAUGGGGUCAGCGCAAGCGAAGCUCUUGAUCGAAGCCCCGGUAAACGGCGGCCGUAACUAUAACGGUCCUAAGGUAGCGAAAUUCCUUGUCGGGUAAGUUCCGACCUGCACGAAUGGCGUAAUGAUGGCCAGGCUGUCUCCACCCGAGACUCAGUGAAAUUGAACUCGCUGUGAAGAUGCAGUGUACCCGCGGCAAGACGGAAAGACCCCGUGAACCUUUACUAUAGCUUGACACUGAACAUUGAGCCUUGAUGUGUAGGAUAGGUGGGAGGCUUUGAAGUGUGGACGCCAGUCUGCAUGGAGCCGACCUUGAAAUACCACCCUUUAAUGUUUGAUGUUCUAACGUGGACCCGUGAUCCGGGUUGCGGACAGUGUCUGGUGGGUAGUUUGACUGGGGCGGUCUCCUCCUAAAGAGUAACGGAGGAGCACGAAGGUUGGCUAAUCCUGGUCGGACAUCAGGAGGUUAGUGCAAUGGCAUAAGCCAGCUUGACUGCGAGCGUGACGGCGCGAGCAGGUGCGAAAGCAGGUCAUAGUGAUCCGGUGGUUCUGAAUGGAAGGGCCAUCGCUCAACGGAUAAAAGGUACUCCGGGGAUAACAGGCUGAUACCGCCCAAGAGUUCAUAUCGACGGCGGUGUUUGGCACCUCGAUGUCGGCUCAUCACAUCCUGGGGCUGAAGUAGGUCCCAAGGGUAUGGCUGUUCGCCAUUUAAAGUGGUACGCGAGCUGGGUUUAGAACGUCGUGAGACAGUUCGGUCCCUAUCUGCCGUGGGCGCUGGAGAACUGAGGGGGGCUGCUCCUAGUACGAGAGGACCGGAGUGGACGCAUCACUGGUGUUCGGGUUGUCAUGCCAAUGGCACUGCCCGGUAGCUAAAUGCGGAAGAGAUAAGUGCUGAAAGCAUCUAAGCACGAAACUUGCCCCGAGAUGAGUUCUCCCUGACCCUUUAAGGGUCCUGAAG
This 1561-nucleotide ribosomal RNA is filed under the name Escherichia coli. RNAcentral's name for it is "partial 23S ribosomal RNA". It matches the Rfam family "Bacterial large subunit ribosomal RNA", at positions 1291 to 2833 of the family's 2925-position model. Lineage: Bacteria; Pseudomonadati; Pseudomonadota; Gammaproteobacteria; Enterobacterales; Enterobacteriaceae. The record is from RNAcentral.